ACUCGCUUGGUGGAAUUGGUAGACACGACAGACUUAAAAUCUGUUUAUUUAUCGGUUCGAGUCCGAUAGCGAGUA
Molecule: transfer RNA, 75 nt
Filed under: Malawimonas jakobiformis
Lineage: Eukaryota; Malawimonada; Malawimonadea; Malawimonadida; Malawimonadidae
Description: tRNA-Leu
Rfam family: tRNA
About the family: Transfer RNA (tRNA) molecules are approximately 80 nucleotides in length. Their secondary structure includes four short double-helical elements and three loops (D, anti-codon, and T loops). Further hydrogen bonds mediate the characteristic L-shaped molecular structure. tRNAs have two regions of fundamental functional importance: the anti-codon, which is responsible for specific mRNA codon recognition, and the 3' end, to which the tRNAs corresponding amino acid is attached (by aminoacyl-tRNA synthetases). tRNAs cope with the degeneracy of the genetic code in two manners: having more than one tRNA (with a specific anti-codon) for a particular amino acid; and 'wobble' base-pairing, i.e. permitting non-standard base-pairing at the 3rd anti-codon position.
Source: RNAcentral